AACGAACGCUGGCGGCAUGCCUAACACAUGCAAGUCGAACGAGACCUUCGGGUAUAGUGGCGCACGGGUGCGUAACGCGUGGGAACCUGCCCUUAGGUUCGGAAUAACUCCCCGAAAGGGGUGCUAAUACCGGAUAAUGUCUUCUUACCAAAGAUUUAUCGCCUUUGGAUGGGCCCGCGUUGGAUUAGCUAGUUGGUAGGGUAAAAGCCUACCAAGGCGAAGAUCCAUAGCUGGUCUGAGAGGAUGAUCAGCCACACUGGGACUGAGACACGGCCCAGACUCCUACGGGAGGCAGCAGGGAGGAAUAUUGGACAAUGGGCGAAAGCCUGAUCCAGAAAGGCCGCGUGAGUGAUGAAGGACUUAGGGUUGUAAAGCUCUUUUACCCGGGAUGAUAAUGACAGUACCGGGAGAAUAAGCUCCGGCUAACUCCGUG
RNAcentral lists this ribosomal RNA (433 nucleotides) under uncultured bacterium. RNAcentral's name for it is "partial 16S ribosomal RNA". It matches the Rfam family "Bacterial small subunit ribosomal RNA", at positions 29 to 507 of the family's 1533-position model. The record is from RNAcentral.